This 1280-nucleotide long non-coding RNA is filed under the name Heterocephalus glaber (naked mole-rat). Its description in RNAcentral is "lncRNA (ENSHGLG00100037261.1)". The record is from RNAcentral. Lineage: Eukaryota; Metazoa; Chordata; Mammalia; Rodentia; Bathyergidae.
CGAGCUCGCAGAGGCAGCGGCGGCGGCGGCGGAGACGGAGAGAGGCAGGCAGGCAGGGCGAGGGCGAGAGACGGAGGGAGGGAGCGAGCGAGGCGGACCAGACAGACAGACAGGCGGGCAGGCGGGCAGGCAGAGCGAGCCACCCGCCAGGCUGCGCUCAACCCCGCGCGCAGCGAAAAAGAGCAGAAGGCAGGAGGAGGGAGGGGAGGAGGGAGGAGGGAGGGAGAGGGAAUCCAGCUACCACCACCCAAAGCCAGCGUCUGCUUUCUGUCCUCAUUUCCUUUUCCCACCCAGCUCGGAGAGCAGAGAAAGGCAGAGAGAGCGAGAAAUAGAGACAGGCAGGCAAACAGACAGACAGACAGAACGGGAGGGAGGAGGGCGGCGGAGGAGGAACAGGAGGACUACGCGGGGCGCGUUCCCUCCCAGCAGCCGUGCGCCCGCGUCGCUGCCGCCGCGGGAAGACAGACGCCCCCCAAAGCCCCUCGCCUGGCUCGGACUCACGGAGCCAGCAGCCCAGCACUCCGAUGGGAGCUUGCCUGAUUGUCUACCCAUCAACCUGGACCCCAGAGCCUGCCCAGCUGAGUGUGUGCAGAGGGUCCCAGGUGAGGGGCGCUGCUCAGGCCUCUGCAGAGACCACCCUGGAGACACUGACAGAGAGAGGCCUUUCCUACUGAGCCUGGCCUCUCUGCACAGCCUGUUCAGAAAGAAGAACUGAGGCUCAUGGAUAUACACUAAGCCCCCCUCCCCCAAUCCUGCCACCUAGCCUGAGGACUCUUCCCUGCACCUUGAUAACCUGAGAGAACUGGGAGGAGAAAGGGGUUGUGACAAUGACCAGGACUCAGGGCAGAGGUGGAAACAAGUGUGCCUGAUGUAUGCAGCUGAUCCCCCAGGACAUCUCUCUACUGGAGUCUGGAAGCAGAGAGCUGGGAGGCCAAGGCGCUGUCCACGGCCCGAGGCCUGGACUCAGGCCGAAGUUGCUCUGCAGCAUCCCCAGCUGACAGCCAGCGAUUGGCAGAGCCCCCAGACACGGGGGGCCCUCUCACUCCCAGAGAUCUCCAGUGUGACAGCCCAGGCGGCAGAGCCGAGGGUCCUGGUCCCGGCUUCUCGCACCCUCAUGUCAGCCCCGGCCCCGCCCGGCGGCCCGCAGAGGACAAGGUCAGGAUGCGUGUGAAGCCCCAGGGCCUGGUGGUGACUUCCAGUGCCGUGUGCAGCUCUCCUGACUACCUCCGGGAGCCCAAGUACUACCCCGGCGGCCCCCCCGCCCCCCGGCCCUUGCUUCC